This 484-nucleotide ribosomal RNA is filed under the name uncultured bacterium. Its description in RNAcentral is "partial 16S ribosomal RNA". It matches the Rfam family "Bacterial small subunit ribosomal RNA", at positions 30 to 507 of the family's 1533-position model. The record is from RNAcentral.
AUUGAACGCUGGCGGCAGGCCUAACACAUGCAAGUCGAGCGGCAGCAGAGUGCUUGCUCCUUGAUUCAGCUGCGGACGGGUGAGUAAUGCCUAGGUACCUGCCUAGUUGUUUGGGAUAACGUCCGGACACGGGCGCUAAUACCGCAUACCUCCUGAGGACGUAAGUGUGGGAUCUUCGGACCUCCCGCUAUUGGAUGAGCCUAGGUCGGAUUAGCUAGUUGGUGGGGUAAAGGCCUACCAAGGCGACGAUCCGUAACUGGUCUGAGAGGAUGAUCAGUCACACUGGAACUGAGACACGGUCCAGACUCCUACGGGAGGCAGCAGUGGGGAAUAUUGGACAAUGGGCGAAAGCCUGAUCCAGCCAUGCCGCGUGGGUGAAGAAGGCCUUCGGGUUGUAAAGCACUUUUGGUGGGGAGGAAGGGCAGUAAGUUAAUACCUUGCUGUUUUGACGGUACCAAAAGAAUAAGCACCGGCUAACUUCGUG